GAUGAACGCUGGCGGCGUGCCUAAUACAUGCAAGUCGAGCGGACGGACGAGAAGCUUGCUUCUCUGAUGUUAGCGGCGGACGGGUGAGUAACACGUGGAUAACCUACCUAUAAGACUGGGAUAACUUCGGGAAACCGGAGCUAAUACCGGAUAAUAUUUUGAACCGCAUGGUUCAAAAGUGAAAGACGGUCUUGCUGUCCCUUAUAGAUGGAUCCGCGCUGCAUUAGCUAGUUGGUAAGGUAACGGCUUACCAAGGCAACGAUGCAUAGCCGACCUGAGAAGGUGAUCGGCCACACUGGAACUGAGACACGGUCCAGACUCCUACGGGAGGCAGCAGUAGGGAAUAUUCCGCAAUGGGCGAAAGCCUGACGGAGCAACGCCGCGUGAGUGAUGAAGGUCUUCGGAUCGUAAAACUCUGUUAUUAGGGAAGAACAGAUGUGUAAGUAACUGUGCCCAUUUUGACGGUACCUAAACAGAAAGCAACGGCUAACUACGUG
Molecule: ribosomal RNA, 497 nt
Filed under: uncultured bacterium
Lineage: Bacteria
Description: partial 16S ribosomal RNA
Rfam family: Bacterial small subunit ribosomal RNA
Source: RNAcentral